Molecule: ribosomal RNA, 534 nt
Filed under: uncultured bacterium
Lineage: Bacteria
Description: bacterial SSU rRNA
Rfam family: Bacterial small subunit ribosomal RNA
Source: RNAcentral
GAACAUACCCCUCGGUUCGGAAUAGCUCAGGGAAACUUGAAUUAAUACCGAAUACGGUCGAGAGGCGAAAGAUUUAUCGCCGAGGGAUUGGCCCGCGUCCGAUUAGCUAGUUGGUGAGGUAAUGGCCCACCAAGGCGACGAUCGGUAGCUGGUCUGAGAGGAUGAUCAGCCACAUUGGGACUGAGACACGGCCCAAACUCCUACGGGAGGCAGCAGUGGGGAAUAUUGGACAAUGGGCGCAAGCCUGAUCCAGCCAUGCCGCGUGAGUGAUGACGGCCUUAGGGUUGUAAAGCUCUUUCGUCAGGGACGAUAAUGACGGUACCUGAAGAAGAAGCCCCGGCUAACUUCGUGCCAGCAGCCGCGGUAAUACGAAGGGGGCUAGCGUUGUUCGGAAUUACUGGGCGUAAAGCGCGUGUAGGCGGGUCUUUAAGUCAGGGGUGAAAUGCCAGGGCUCAACCUUGGAACUGCCUUUGAUACUGGAGAUCUUGAGUCCGGGAGAGGUGAGUGGAACUGCGAGUGUAGAGGUGAAAUUCG